RNAcentral lists this transfer RNA (76 nucleotides) under Chloroflexota bacterium. RNAcentral describes it as "Chloroflexi bacterium tRNA-Arg". It matches the Rfam family "tRNA". Rfam says of the family: Transfer RNA (tRNA) molecules are approximately 80 nucleotides in length. Their secondary structure includes four short double-helical elements and three loops (D, anti-codon, and T loops). The record is from RNAcentral. Lineage: Bacteria; Bacillati; Chloroflexota.
GCCCUCGUAGCUCAGUGGACAGAGCAGCGGACUUCUAAUCCGCGGGUCGCAGGUUCGAAUCCUGCCGAGGGCGCCA